AUGAUCCAUGGACAUUCCUUGGGAUCACCACAAACAAGCUUUCUAAUGUAUCAUUUUGCAACCAUAGAAUCACUGAGUAGGGAUGGACCCCAAAGAAAAACAUCCAAAGCUCAAGCAUGCCUAAGAGACAACCUCCAAGGAAGGAGGACCUGUCAUCUUCUAAGGUUAUUAUUUAUUCUAUUUUCAACCAGGACUUAUUUAUUUAUUUAUUUAUUUAUUUACAGUAUUUAUAUUCCGCCCUUCUCACCCCGAAGGGGACUCAGGGCGGAAUAUAAAUAUUGUAAAUAAAUAAAUUAAUUAAUUAAAAUUCUGCACUAUAGAUCUGUGUUGGUAUUGCUGAGAAGUAGAGCUCCUUAUAGAGAAUCUAAGUUUCUCAUUGUGCCAGAACCUUUAUCCAGGUUUGCCCUGCAGUUUCGAUCCUUUUAUCCACAAGAUCCUCCCUGGGAUUUGCACUCAGGCCUCAAGGACAUAUUGGACAAAUGGAUGUGUUCAACAGAGGGUUCAGUGUCAUAAGGCAUGCCCAGUCUUUCUUGUAAAUUACAGCAUUCAAUCAGAGUUGUAAAAAACAAAUAGAGUAAGGAUUCAUUGUAUAACAAAUAAAAUAAACAUCUAGUUUUCUGCUGGUUCCAUGUACAGGACACAAUAACAUCUCAGUUUUAAAUAAAGUAACAUUUCUCCCCAAGCUCUCUCCACAUUUUCAGUUCCCAAAAGCUCUAGCCAAAGCUCAUCCAUUCCCCUCAUUCUAACUGGCCUUUCUCUAUUUCUGAAGAAUGCUAUCGCAUUUCCUAUCUGCAUCUUUCCCUAUUUCUGACUGGGUAUUUCUAAUAAUUCUACAAACAACUCUUAGAAUCAUAAGGUUUAAAGAGAUCCCAAGAGCCAUCCACUCCAACCCCAUUCUUUUAGGAAGGAAGACAUCAUGAAAGCACUCCCAAUGAUGUCAAAUCAGGCUCUACUUUAAAACCUCCGGAGAAGGAGACUUCACCAUACUGCCAGGCAGCUUCCACUGUCGAACAGUGCAGGAAUAUCUUGGUUAUAUCCUUUCCCCAAUAGCAACACACAUACACACACACAA
Molecule: long non-coding RNA, 1072 nt
Filed under: Anolis carolinensis (green anole)
Lineage: Eukaryota; Metazoa; Chordata; Lepidosauria; Squamata; Anolidae
Description: lncRNA (ENSACAG00000036645.1)
Source: RNAcentral